Molecule: long non-coding RNA, 95 nt
Organism: Sapajus apella (tufted capuchin)
Lineage: Eukaryota; Metazoa; Chordata; Mammalia; Primates; Cebidae
Exons: 3
Source: RefSeq, a predicted model, not a curated record
CUUGGGUCUAGGAGUUGGAGGUCGCCUUGAGCUAUGAUCGCACCACUAUGCUUCAGCCUAGGUGACAGAGCAAGACCUUGUUUCUAAAAAACAGC